UAACACGUGAGCAACCUGCCUUUCAGUGGGGGACAACAUUUGGAAACGAAUGCUAAUACCGCAUAAGACCACAGUGUCGCAUGGCACAGGGGUCAAAGGAUUUAUCCGCUGAAAGAUGGGCUCGCGUCCGAUUAGCUAGAUGGUGAGGUAACGGCCCACCAUGGCGACGAUCGGUAGCCGGACUGAGAGGUUGAUCGGCCACAUUGGGACUGAGACACGGCCCAGACUCCUACGGAGGCAGCCAUG
This 246-nucleotide ribosomal RNA is filed under the name uncultured bacterium. RNAcentral describes it as "partial 16S ribosomal RNA". It matches the Rfam family "Bacterial small subunit ribosomal RNA", at positions 111 to 352 of the family's 1533-position model. The record is from RNAcentral.